This 403-nucleotide ribosomal RNA is filed under the name uncultured bacterium. Its description in RNAcentral is "bacterial SSU rRNA". It matches the Rfam family "Bacterial small subunit ribosomal RNA", at positions 32 to 424 of the family's 1533-position model. The record is from RNAcentral.
AAUCAACGCUGGCGGCGUGCCUCAGACAUGCAAGUCGAACGAUUAAAGCUCUCUUCGGAGAGUGCAUAGAGUGGCGCACGGGUGAGUAACACGUAAGUAAUCUACCCUCGAGUGGGGAAUAACGUCCGGAAACGGACGCUAAUACCGCAUAAUGCAGCGGCACCGCAAGGUGACAGUUGUUAAAGGAGAAAUUCGCUUGAGGAGGAGCUUGCGGCAGAUAGCUUGUUGGUAAGGUAACGGCUUACCAAGGCUACGAUCUGUAACCGGUCUUAGAGGACGGUCGGUCACACUGACACUGAAUAACGGGUCAGACUCCUACGGGAGGCAGCAGUCGGGAAUUUUGGGUCGAAUGGGCGAAAGCCUGACCCAGCAACGCCGCGUGAAGGAUGAAGUAUUUCGGUAU